AGUGAACGCUGGCGGUAGGCCUAACACAUGCAAGUCGAACGGCAGCACAGUAAGAGCUUGCUCUUACUGUUGGCGAGUGGCGGACGGGUGAGGAAUACAUCGGAAUCUACUUUUUCGUGGGGGAUAACGUAGGGAAACUUACGCUAAUACCUCAUACGACCUACGGGUGAAAGCAGGGGAUCUUCGGACCUUGCGCGAUUGAAUGAGCCGAUUUCGGAUUAGCUAGUUGGCGGGGUAAAGGCCCACCAAGGCGACGAUCCGUAGCUGGUCUGAGAGGAUGAUCAGCCACACUGGAACUGAGACACGGUCCAGACUCCUACGGGAGGCAGCAGUGGGGAAUAUUGGACAAUGGGCGAAAGCCUGAUCCAGCCAUACCGCGUGGGUGAAGAAGGCCUUCGGGUUGUAAAGCCCUGUUGUUGGGAAAGAAAAGCAGCAGGUUAAUACCCCGAUGUUCUGACGGUACCCAAAGAAUAAGCACCGGCUAACUUCGUG
This 492-nucleotide ribosomal RNA is filed under the name uncultured bacterium. RNAcentral describes it as "partial 16S ribosomal RNA". It matches the Rfam family "Bacterial small subunit ribosomal RNA", at positions 29 to 507 of the family's 1533-position model. The record is from RNAcentral.